ACUCAGGCACGGUCCGAACGGGGAACCGACCUGAAGUUCAAUCCUGAGGGA
RNAcentral lists this non-coding RNA (51 nucleotides) under Corynebacterium capitovis DSM 44611. RNAcentral's name for it is "L31-Corynebacteriaceae ribosomal protein leader". It matches the Rfam family "L31-Corynebacteriaceae ribosomal protein leader". The record is from RNAcentral. Lineage: Bacteria; Bacillati; Actinomycetota; Actinomycetes; Mycobacteriales; Corynebacteriaceae.